GUUAUAUGGUCAAGCGAAUAAGCGCACACGGUGGAUGCCUAGGCGGUCAGAGGCGAUGAAGGACGUGGUAGCCUGCGAAAAGUGUCGGGGAGCUGGCAACAAGCUUUGAUCCGGCAAUAUCCGAAUGGGGAAACCCACUGCUUCGGCAGUAUCCUGCAGUGAAUUCAUAGCUGCUGGAAGCGAACCCGGUGAACUGAAAUAUCUAAGUAACCAGAGGAAAAGAAAUCAACCGAGAUUCCCUAAGUAGUGACGAGCGAACGGGGAACAGCCCUUAAGCUGGAAUGGCUUUAGAAAAACAAUCUGGAAAGAUUGGCCAUAGAAGGUGAUAGCCCUGUAUUUAAAAGGGCCACUCCAGUGAAGACGAGUAGGGCGGGGCACGUGAAACCCUGUCUGAAUAUGGGGGGACCAUCCUCCAAGGCUAAAUACUCCUGACCGACCGAUAGUGAACCAGUACCGUGAGGGAAAGGCGAAAAGAACCCCGGAGAGGGGAGUGAAAUAGAUCCUGAAACCGUGUGCGUACAAGCAGUAGGAGCUCGCAAGAGUGACUGCGUACCUUUUGUAUAAUGGGUCAGCGACUUACUGUUCGUGGCAAGCUUAACCGUAUAGGGGAGGCGAAGGGAAACCGAGUCUGAUAAGGGCGCAUAGUCGCGGGCAGUAGACCCGAAACCGGGUGAUCUAGUCAUGGCCAGGGUGAAGGUGCCGUAACAGGUACUGGAGGCCCGAACCCACGUCUGUUGCAAAAGACGGGGAUGAGCUGUGAUUAGGAGUGAAAAGCUAAUCGAACCCGGAGAUAGCUGGUUCUCCUCGAAAGCUAUUUAGGUAGCGCCUCAUAUGUAUCCUCUCGGGGGUAGAGCACUGUUAUGGCUAGGGGGUCAUCGCGACUUACCAAACCAUUGCAAACUCCGAAUACCGAGACGGACUGUAUGGGAGACACACGGCGGGUGCUAACGUCCGUCGUGAAAAGGGAAACAACCCAGACCCACAGCUAAGGUCCCAAAUUCACUGCUAAGUGGAAAACGAUGUGGAAAGGCAUAGACAGCCAGGAGGUUGGCUUAGAAGCAGCCACCCUUUAAAGAAAGCGUAAUAGCUCACUGGUCGAGUCGGUCUGCGCGGAAGAUUUAACGGGGCUAAGCAGUGAACCGAAGCUUGGGGUGCAUAAAACGUGUUUUAUGCGCGGUAGAGGAGCGUUCCGUAAGCCUGCGAAGGUGGAUUGAGAAGUCUGCUGGAGGUAUCGGAAGUGCGAAUGCUGACAUGAGUAACGAUAAUGCGGGUGAAAAGCCCGCACGCCGAAAGCCCAAGGUUUCCUUGCGCAACGUUAAUCGACGCAGGGUUAGUCGGUCCCUAAGGCGAGGGCGAAAGCCGUAGUCGAUGGGAAGCAGGUUAAUAUUCCUGCACCUCGCGUGAGUGCGAUGGAGGGACGGAGAAGGUUAGGUGUACCGGGCGUUGGUUGUCCCGGGGAAAGGCGGUAGGUUUGGAUCUUUGGCAAAUCCGGGAUCCUUUAAGACCGAGCACCGAGACGAGCCUUUUUGGCAAAGUCACUGAUACCACGCUUCCAGGAAAAGCUCCUAAGCUUCAGCUCACGAAGACCGUACCGUAAACCGACACAGGUGGGUAGGAUGAGAAUUCUCAGGCGCUUGAGAGAACUCGGGUGAAGGAACUAGGCAACAUGGCACCGUAACUUCGGGAGAAGGUGCACCCUUUUUGGUGGCUCAUGCGAGCUAUAGCUGAAGAGGGUCGCAGAAACCAGGCCGCUGCGACUGUUUAUCAAAAACACAGCACUCUGCAAACACGAAAGUGGACGUAUAGGGUGUGACGCCUGCCCGGUGCUGGAAGGUUAAUUGAUGGGGUCAGCCGCAAGGCGAAGCUCUUGAUCGAAGCCCCAGUAAACGGCGGCCGUAACUAUAACGGUCCUAAGGUAGCGAAAUUCCUUGUCGGGUAAGUUCCGACCUGCACGAAUGGCGUAACGACAGCGGCGCUGUCUCCACCCGAGACUCAGUGAAAUUGAAAUCGCUGUGAAGAUGCAGCGUUCCCGUGGCAAGACGGAAAGACCCCGUGAACCUUUACUAUAGCUUUACACUGAACGUUGAGUUCGUCUGUGUAGGAUAGGUGGGAGGCUAUGAAACUGUGGCGCUAGCUGCAGUGGAGCCAUCCUUGAAAUACCACCCUGUCGUGCUUGACGUUCUAACCUAGGUCCGUUAUCCGGAUCAGGGACCGUGUAUGGUGGGUAGUUUGACUGGGGCGGUCUCCUCCUAAAGAGUAACGGAGGAGCACGAAGGUACGCUCAGCGCGGUCGGACAUCGCGCACUGUGUGCAAAGGCAUAAGCGUGCUUGACUGCAAGAUCGACGGAUCAAGCAGGUACGAAAGUAGGUCUUAGUGAUCCGGUGGUUCUGUAUGGAAGGGCCAUCGCUCAACGGAUAAAAGGUACUCCGGGGAUAACAGGCUGAUACCGCCCAAGAGUUCAUAUCGACGGCGGUGUUUGGCACCUCGAUGUCGGCUCAUCACAUCCUGGGGCUGUAGUCGGUCCCAAGGGUAUGGCUGUUCGCCAUUUAAAGUGGUACGCGAGCUGGGUUCAGAACGUCGUGAGACAGUUCGGUCCCUAUCUGCCAUGGGCGUUGGAAGUUUGAGAGGAGCUGCUCCUAGUACGAGAGGACCGGAGUGGACGAACCUCUGGUGUUCCGGUUGUCACGCCAGUGGCAUUGCCGGGUAGCUAUGUUCGGAAGCGAUAACCGCUGAAAGCAUCUAAGCGGGAAGCGCGCCUCAAGAUGAGACUUCCCGGGGCACAAGCCCCCUAAAGGAACCAUGUAGACUACGUGGUUGAUAGGUCAGGUGUGUAAGUACAGCAAUGUAUUGAGCUAACUGAUACUAAUGAUCCGUGCGGCUUGACCAUAUAACCUCA
Molecule: ribosomal RNA, 2897 nt
Filed under: Xanthomonas campestris pv. azadirachtae
Lineage: Bacteria; Pseudomonadati; Pseudomonadota; Gammaproteobacteria; Lysobacterales; Lysobacteraceae
Description: bacterial LSU rRNA
Rfam family: Bacterial large subunit ribosomal RNA
Source: RNAcentral